This 253-nucleotide ribosomal RNA is filed under the name uncultured bacterium. RNAcentral's name for it is "partial 16S ribosomal RNA". It matches the Rfam family "Bacterial small subunit ribosomal RNA", at positions 524 to 776 of the family's 1533-position model. The record is from RNAcentral.
UACGGAGGGUGCGAGCGUUGUCCGGAAUCACUGGGCGUAAAGGGCGCGUAGGCGGCGCGGGUAGUCAACGGUGAAAGCUUGGGGCUCAACCCCGAGUCGGCCGUCGAUACUCCCGUGCUUGAGCACUGUAGAGGCAGGUGGAAUUCCGGGUGUAGCGGUGGAAUGCGUAGAGAUCCGGAAGAACACCGGUGGCGAAGGCGGUUGGCUGGGCCACAACUGACACUGAUGCGCGACAGCGUGGGGAGCAAACAGG